GAGAAGAAAAGCAGUUGACAGCCAUUCUAGCAUCUGCAGUUGGGCUUCAGUUCAAGAAAAGUAACACUUGCUUUUAGCUUCUGCCUCUGUGCUACAGAGCUGCACUUAGAUAAAUUGAUGUCUUCCACAUCUUUAUUCAUUUUUACUUUCCAAUUGGCAGACUUUAUUUCCAAACCUCUUCAAGGAGAUAUAAAACUCAACUGAAUGGAGAAAACUUCUAACAGUGGCAUCAUUCAGGAUCUGAGUGCAAGCCCAGGAGAUCUCCCAUUACUCGAGGGAUCUGUUCACCAUUCUGAAGACUGGCACUAUCAACAGUCUACCAAUGGCAGCAACUGGUUUUACCUUAGGCUUAGUUUUAUAAGGUGAAAAAGUGACUGCCUUAUUAUUAAGGGCAACUCAUUACAUACAGACUUUAUAUAUUAUGAUUUGUGUAUAAGAGCAAUUUAAUGAUAUCUGUACUAUAAAAUUAUC
Molecule: long non-coding RNA, 471 nt
Filed under: Bos taurus (domestic cattle)
Lineage: Eukaryota; Metazoa; Chordata; Mammalia; Artiodactyla; Bovidae
Description: long non-coding RNA NONBTAT001320
Source: RNAcentral